UACGGAGGGGACUAGCGUUGUUCGGAAUUACUGGGCGUAAAGCGCUCGUAGGCGGAUUUGUAAGUCAGGGGUGAAAUCCCGGGGCUCAACCUCGGAACUGCCUUUGAUACUGCAAAUCUCGAGUCCGGAAGAGGUGAGUGGAAUUCCUAGUGUAGAGGUGAAAUUCGUAGAUAUUAGGAAGAACACCAGUGGCGAAGGCGGCGCACUGGUCCGGUACUGACGCUGAGGUGCGAAAGCGUGGGGAGCAAACAGG
Molecule: ribosomal RNA, 253 nt
Filed under: uncultured bacterium
Lineage: Bacteria
Description: partial 16S ribosomal RNA
Rfam family: Bacterial small subunit ribosomal RNA
Source: RNAcentral